UGGGGUCGUUUAUAAAGCAAUUAUUCUUUAGUUUAUUGGAUAAAACCAAAGGAAGAAACAAACUCUCGUGUCUCAACAAGGAAGAAAAGAAGAAGAAGAAGAAGAAGAUGGAGAAGAAGAAGAAGAUGAAAUUACACCUAGUGCUUGACUUGGAUCAGACGCUUCUCCACUAUGUCCCUGUUUCACAGCUUUCUGAUAAAGAAAAAUAUAUAAUGCAAGAACCUGAUUCAAGGGUACGCGCGGUAUGUAUUGAGUGUUAUUGAUCCUGGUAAAAGAUAUUUUGGAAAUAGAGUCAUAACCAGAGAGAAAUCCCCCCAUAAGAAGACCCUUGAUCGUAUCUCUGCUGAUCAACGAAGAGUGGUUAUUGUUGAUGAUAAUCCUAGUGCUUGGCCUCAACACAAGCCAAACUUGUUGCAGGUCUCACAGUACAUUUAUUUCAGAUACCAGAUGACGAAUAAUAAUUCGGAAGAAGAUUCUUACGCAGAGAAGGAGAGCGACGAGUGUCGAAGCAAUGGAGCAUUGUCUAAUGUUCUCAAACUCCUUCAAAAAGCUCACACAAGAUUCCAACAAGAAGAGGAUUCUAACGACUUGAGGCUUUUGAUACAUUUGGAGGGUAAAGCUUCAUCUGAAUCUUCUGCAUUGCACCUUGAAUCAAUUCCCCCGUUAUCUGAAAAUACUGGUAAAAUGAUCAAAGAUGACUAUGAAGAAUAUAAGAGUGAGAAACCAAAUCUGAUUCUUCUUUCAUUCAUUCAUCUUGUCUAUAUCUUGAAGUAAAAAAGCUUCUGAGAAAUCAAGAAAACAAUAUAACAUGUUGGAAAGUAGAUGAUAAAUUACUAGUGACUGAGAAGAUUUUGAUCUCUACAACUUUGUUUACCGGUCAUCAUCAUCAUCAUCUUCACAUUCCCCUUGAGCUUGCGACUCGUCCCCAAUAUCCUCCAAAAGCUUAUCAACAUCAACUCCUAACUCUACCAGCUUCGCCGUUAGCUUCUCCACUUUACUCUCCUCUUGUCCCAAACACAC
Brassica oleracea var. oleracea is the source of this 1020-nucleotide long non-coding RNA. RefSeq lists it as uncharacterized. The record is from RefSeq and is a predicted model, not a curated record. The transcript is spliced from 2 exons. Lineage: Eukaryota; Viridiplantae; Streptophyta; Magnoliopsida; Brassicales; Brassicaceae.